This 340-nucleotide transfer-messenger RNA is filed under the name Lachnospiraceae. Its description in RNAcentral is "Choladocola sp003481535 Standard tmRNA". It matches the Rfam family "transfer-messenger RNA". From Rfam's summary of the family: Bacterial tmRNA, also known as 10Sa RNA or SsrA, is named for its dual tRNA and mRNA-like properties. Its role is to liberate the mRNA from a stalled ribosome. The record is from RNAcentral. RNAcentral also lists the same sequence under 1 other name. Lineage: Bacteria; Bacillati; Bacillota; Clostridia; Lachnospirales.
GGGCUAGUAAAGGUUUCGACGGGGGUUUUGAAGUUGGGGCAGCCAUCCGAAGGUACCGCGUAAGGUGCAAAAAUAAAUAUAAACGCUGAAGAUAAUUUAGCAAUCGCUGCCUAAUGGCAGCUGUCUGACUCAGAGCACCCACACUUUGUGACCCAGGCAUCGACUAUGUGGGAAACGACACACGUUAAGCUUUGCACGUGUGGGCGUAUCAUGAAGCUACUGAAGCUGUAAACCUGCCGGUUGGUGUACAGCGGAGGGAAUGUCAAAUAAGCGGCUGUGAUGGGAGAUACCGCGAUGGAUGGGCUUUCGGACAGGGGUUCGACUCCCCUCUGGUCCACUA